Long non-coding RNA from Malurus melanocephalus (red-backed fairy wren), 418 nucleotides. RefSeq lists it as uncharacterized. The transcript has 3 exons. Lineage: Eukaryota; Metazoa; Chordata; Aves; Passeriformes; Maluridae. The record is from RefSeq and is a predicted model, not a curated record.
CCACAGCCGUCCGCUUCUCCCCGCCGCCACUUCACCGGCGCCUCCUCCUCCUCCGCCACCGCCUCCUCCCGCUCCGUCCCCGCCUCAGCCCCCUCCCGUGCCCCGGGCAACCCUGCUCGCCCCCGGCUGCUCCUGGUGGCCGGAGGCCGCUGGCGAGGGGCGGCGGACGGGAGCCGCGCACCUCCGGGAGCCGGGGGRACUAAUACAACUGUUCAGCUCUCCCCCGGGAAUGGUGUAAAGUAAAUAUAGGAGUUCCUGAAAAAUAACAGUGUGAAUGAGAGAGGCUCUCCGCAGUAUUUAGUGUCCAGUUGUACUGGCUCCGAAGAACAGCAGCGUCGCAAUGCCCCCUCCUGCUGAUAUAGUGAAGGUGGCGAUUGARUGGCCAGGUGCCUUCCCCAAGUUAAUGGAAAUAGAUCAA